UUGAAACUCAUAUCUACAACAAUGCAACGUUGAGAGGAGAGCAUCAAGCCCAACUCAAGUGGCAUUUGAUGCACAUACUCGGUCUGUUUUUUUUACGCCCUCGAUCCAAAUAUUUUCUCUCUGCCCACCCGGGAAACCAUCCCUCGACAUCUUGAUAGAUGAGCACCUGGUCAAGGGCUCGGAAAGUUUGUCAAGUUUUCAAGCCUCCUGCAUUGAUUGUCAGAAGGUAAUAUAGUGUGGAUUGGCUGCUAGAGGCAUCUGAAGUAUUUAAAUGGCAGGUGCCCCCACGUUUAGAAGAGGCUUGCUUUUGAACACAAUUACAAGAUCUUGUAAAUGAUUCUUUCAAGUUCAUAUUUCAGAUACAGCUAAUCUUUAGACUUGAAGCCUUCUCAAAGAUAUCCGAAGUUCGUGUAAACUUUCAAGAUUGAACCGAGUAUACCAACCUCCAUUUCCUUGCUUUUUUUGCUCCUGAGAAUACACAAACGAAAAUGAUGUAAUACUAAAUUUGUUUUCUCUGAAA
This is a long non-coding RNA of Cucumis melo (muskmelon), 520 nucleotides long. RefSeq lists it as uncharacterized. Lineage: Eukaryota; Viridiplantae; Streptophyta; Magnoliopsida; Cucurbitales; Cucurbitaceae. The record is from RefSeq and is a predicted model, not a curated record. The transcript is spliced from 2 exons.